This 87-nucleotide transfer RNA is filed under the name Candidatus Cloacimonadota bacterium. Its description in RNAcentral is "tRNA-Leu". It matches the Rfam family "tRNA". Rfam says of the family: Transfer RNA (tRNA) molecules are approximately 80 nucleotides in length. Their secondary structure includes four short double-helical elements and three loops (D, anti-codon, and T loops). The record is from RNAcentral. RNAcentral also lists the same sequence under 1 other name. Lineage: Bacteria; Pseudomonadati; Candidatus Cloacimonadota.
GCCGGAGUGGUGGAAUUGGUAGACACAAGGGACUUAAAAUCCCUCGGGCUUACGCUCGUGCCGGUUCAAGUCCGGCCUCUGGUACCA